RNAcentral lists this ribosomal RNA (548 nucleotides) under uncultured bacterium. RNAcentral's name for it is "bacterial SSU rRNA". It matches the Rfam family "Bacterial small subunit ribosomal RNA", at positions 355 to 896 of the family's 1533-position model. The record is from RNAcentral.
UAGGGAAUCUUCGGCAAUGGANGGAAGUCUGACCGAGCAACGCCGCGUGAGUGAAGAAGGUUUUCGGAUCGUAAAGCUCUGUUGUUAGAGGAAGAACGAGUGUGAGAGCAGAAAGUUCAUACUGNCCGGUACUUACCCGGAAAUCGAGGGUAACCUCCGUGCCGCCAGCCGCGUUAUUAGUUGGGUGCCAAGCGUAUUCGGGAUUUAUGGGGGUAAAGAGAAGCGCAGGCGUUUUGAAAGUUUGAAAGAAAAGGCAGUGGCUCANNGAGAAGGGCAUCGGAAACUGGAUAACUUGAGUGCAGAAGGGGAGAGUGGAAUUCCAUGUGUAGCGGUGGAAUGCGUAGAUAUAUGGAAGAACACCGGUGGCGAAAGCGGCUAUCUGGUCUGUAACUGACGCUGAGGCUCGAAAGCAUGGGGAGCGAACAGGAUUAGAUACCCUGGUAGUCCACGCCGUAAACGAUGAGUGCUAGGUGUUAGAGGCUUUCCGGGAUUCAGUGCCGGAGCUAACGCAUUAAGCACUCCGCCUGGGGAGUACGACCGCAAGGUUG